UACGUAUGGUGCAAGCGUUAUCCGGAUUUACUGGGUGUAAAGGGAGCGUAGGUGGCAAGGCAAGCCAGAAGUGAAAACCCGGGGCUCAACCGCGGGAUUGCUUUUGGAACUGUCAUGCUGGAGUGCAGGAGGGGUGAGCGGAAUUCCUAGUGUAGCGGUGAAAUGCGUAGAUAUUAGGAGGAACACCGGAGGCGAAGGCGGCUCACUGGACUGUAACUGACACUGAGGCUCGAAAGCGUGGGGAGCAAACAGG
This 253-nucleotide ribosomal RNA is filed under the name uncultured bacterium. RNAcentral's name for it is "partial 16S ribosomal RNA". It matches the Rfam family "Bacterial small subunit ribosomal RNA", at positions 524 to 776 of the family's 1533-position model. The record is from RNAcentral.